Long non-coding RNA from Cataglyphis hispanica, 541 nucleotides. RefSeq lists it as uncharacterized. The record is from RefSeq and is a predicted model, not a curated record. NCBI's taxonomy places the organism in Eukaryota, Metazoa, Arthropoda, Insecta, Hymenoptera, Formicidae. The transcript has 3 exons.
UCUCCUCUAGAUGACAGCGCUCAAAUAAUUAUUUAGCGCUCAAAUUUCCUUCCCGCCAGAAUUAUUAAUAUUCUGCGGGACGUUACAUCGAACGACAUCACGUAUCUCCUAUCAAUUUAGCUGCGCAUCUGAUAACAAAGCUUAUAGAUCCAUCGCAAAGUUUGCACUUACGUAAUUAUGCGAUAUUGUUGAAGUUUCAUACAGAUUGAUCCUACAUUUCAAGCGAUUUCACGAUUUAACAGCGCGAAAAUAGAUAAUGCGAGCUGAGAAGUGAUCAAAACAAUGCAAUCUUGGAUAAAAAAAAAUAUCUUAAGAACGGUAAAAUAAAAGAGGAAGUCUCAUCUCUGGUUGCAGAAACGCAGACCAUUUCUAUUGAAUAAAUUGAGGGAUGACGCGACGACGGCGAGACAUUCGUGCAAGCAGCAUUUUGACAGGCGGAACAAUGCCGACGUCAUGUGGUAUCAAAACGUCUAUUAAAUCUGCUACACUAGAAAUCCAUUAUGGAAAAUUGGGAUAGUAAAUAGUUAGUAAAUAGUUAGAG